This 271-nucleotide unclassified non-coding RNA is filed under the name fungal sp. RNAcentral's name for it is "partial internal transcribed spacer region". The stretch from base 1 to 46 matches the Rfam family "Eukaryotic small subunit ribosomal RNA", at positions 1786 to 1831 of the family's 1831-position model. The record is from RNAcentral. Lineage: Eukaryota; Fungi.
AAGUCGUAACAAGGUUUCCGUAGGUGAACCUGCGGAAGGAUCAUUAUGAGUGUUUGAGGGAUAUGUUAGAUUGUGAAGAGGUGUGCGUGUGCAGGGGGAGAAUGAAUGGAUUGAUUACCGGGGUAAUUGAUUAUUGAUUUUUUACCCGGGGGCACACACACAAAAUAGCAAGAACGAUAGUAGUAGUAGUAGUAAUUUAGUGCUUUAACAGAGAGAGAGCACAACAACAAAAACAAAAAUACAACUUUUAACAAUGGAUCUCUAGGCUCUU